GGGCAGGGUGAGUCGACCCCUAAGGCGAGGCCGAAAGGCGUAGUCGAUGGGAAACAGGUUAAUAUUCCUGUACUUGGUGUUACUGCGAAGGGGGGACGGAGAAGGCUAUGUUGGCCGGGCGACGGUUGUCCCGGUUUAAGCGUGUAGGCUGGUUUUCCAGGCAAAUCCGGAAAAUCAAGGCUGAGGCGUGAUGACGAGGCACUACGGUGCUGAAGCGACAAAUGCCCUGCUUCCAGGAAAAGCCUCUAAGCAUCAGGUAACAUCAAAUCGUACCCCAAACCGACACAGGUGGUCAGGUAGAGAAUACCAAGGCGCUUGA
RNAcentral lists this ribosomal RNA (319 nucleotides) under Escherichia coli. RNAcentral's name for it is "partial 23S ribosomal RNA". It matches the Rfam family "Bacterial large subunit ribosomal RNA", at positions 1372 to 1693 of the family's 2925-position model. The record is from RNAcentral. Lineage: Bacteria; Pseudomonadati; Pseudomonadota; Gammaproteobacteria; Enterobacterales; Enterobacteriaceae.